UACGUAGGGGGCAAGCGUUGUCCGGAUUUCUUGGGCGUAAAGCGCGUGUAGGCGGCUUGGCAAGUCCGCUGUGAAAACUCGAGGCUCAACCUCGAGAUGUCGGUGGAAACUGCUUGGCUAGAGUCCGGAAGAGGAGUGUGGAAUUCCUGGUGUAGCGGUGAAAUGCGCAGAUAUCAGGAAGAACACCUAUGGCGAAGGCAGCACUCUGGGACGGUACUGACGCUGAGACGCGAAAGCGUGGGGAGCGAACAGG
Molecule: ribosomal RNA, 253 nt
Filed under: uncultured bacterium
Lineage: Bacteria
Description: partial 16S ribosomal RNA
Rfam family: Bacterial small subunit ribosomal RNA
Source: RNAcentral